CCUACGGGAGGCAGCAGUGGGGAAUAUUGGACAAUGGGCGCAAGCCUGAUCCAGCCAUGCCGCGUGUGUGAAGAAGGCCUUCGGGUUGUAAAGCACUUUCAGCGAGGAGGAAGGGAGUUGUGUUAAUAGCACAGCUUCUUGACGUUACUCGCAGAAGAAGCCCCGCAU
RNAcentral lists this ribosomal RNA (168 nucleotides) under uncultured bacterium. RNAcentral describes it as "partial 16S ribosomal RNA". It matches the Rfam family "Bacterial small subunit ribosomal RNA", at positions 338 to 498 of the family's 1533-position model. The record is from RNAcentral.